Molecule: ribosomal RNA, 295 nt
Filed under: uncultured bacterium
Lineage: Bacteria
Description: partial 16S ribosomal RNA
Rfam family: Bacterial small subunit ribosomal RNA
Source: RNAcentral
ACGAACGCUGGCGGCGUGGAUAAGACAUGCAAGUCGAGCGCUCAUUCGGUUGCAGCAAUGUAGCCGAGUGGGAGCGGCGCAAGGGUGCGUAACACGUGGGUAAUUUGCCAAAAAGUUUGGGAUAACUCGCUGAAAGGCGAGCUAAUACCGGAUGUGAUCAUCGGGCGGCAUCGUUUGAUGAUUAAAGUUGGGGACCGUAAGGCCUGACGCUUUUUGAUAAGCCCGCGGCCUAUCAGCUAGUUGGUGAGGUAACGGCUCACCAAGGCUAAGACGGGUAGCUGGUCUGAGAGGACGA